CAGGCAGGCCUCCUUGAGCUGUGGUGGGCUCCACCCAGUUCGAGCUUCCUGGCUGCUUUGUUUACCUACGGGAGCCUGGGCAAUGGCGGGCGCCCCUCCCCCAGCCUCCCUGCCGCCUUGCAGUUUGAUCUCAGACUGCUGUGCUAGCAAUCAGCGAGACUCCGUGGGCGUAAGACCCUCCGAGCCAGGUGCGGGAUAUAAUCUCGUGGUGCACCGUUUUUUCAGCCCGUCGGAAAAGCGCAGUAUUCAGGUGGGAGUGAUCUGAUUUUCCAGGUGCCGUCCGUCACCCCUUUCUUUGACUGGGAAAGGGAACUCCCUGACCCCUUGUGCUUCCCAAGUGAGGCAAUGCCUCACCCUGCUUCGGCUCGCGCAAGGUGCGUGCACCCACUGACCUGCGCCCACUGUCUGGCGCUCCCUAGUGAGAUGAACCCGGUACCUCAGAUGGAAAUGCAGAAAUCACCGUCUUCUGGCGUCGCUCACGCUGGGAGCUGUAGACCGGAGCUGUUCCUAUUCGGCCAUCUUGGCUCCAAAAUCCAGCCAUAUUUUGAGAUUCUCCUAUGUACCUGAAUCUUCAGAGAGCACAGCUGGACUCCACACAUGCAAAGUACUGGACCCUUCCUUUGAAUCCACCACUGUUACCCCUGGAAGUUGGAUGUUUCUGCUGGCAUUCUUCCCAUCAUGGACUCUGUGCAGAAGUUGCCUCCUAUGGUUUGAAUGUGUUCCCCAUAGUUCAUGUGUUGGGAACUUAAUGACUAAUGCAACAGUGGUGAGAGGUAGGUCCUCCCUUUAAGAGGUGAUGCGGUAAUGAGGGCUCUGCCCCCAUGAAUCGAUUAAUGUUGUUAUCAUGGACAUGGGUACAUUAUCUCAAGAGUGGAUUUGUUAUAAAAGUGAGAUAAGCCCUUUCUUGCUCCCUCUUGCUCUUGUGCUCUGUUGCCCUUCCACCUCUCACCAUGGAAUGAAGCAGAAAGAAGUUCCCAGCAUCAGGCUCUUGAACUUCCUAGCCUCCAGAACUGUGAGUCA
Molecule: long non-coding RNA, 1020 nt
Filed under: Homo sapiens (human)
Lineage: Eukaryota; Metazoa; Chordata; Mammalia; Primates; Hominidae
Description: HSALNT0208857
Source: RNAcentral